This 253-nucleotide ribosomal RNA is filed under the name uncultured bacterium. RNAcentral describes it as "partial 16S ribosomal RNA". It matches the Rfam family "Bacterial small subunit ribosomal RNA", at positions 524 to 776 of the family's 1533-position model. The record is from RNAcentral.
UACGUAGGGUGCGAGCGUUGUCCGGAUUUAUUGGGCGUAAAGAGCUCGUAGGCGGUCAGUCGCGUCUGCUGUGAAAACUCGGGGCUUAACUCCGGGCCUGCAGUGGGUACGGGCUGACUAGAGUGCGGUAGGGGAGACUGGAAUUCCUGGUGUAGCGGUGAAAUGCGCAGAUAUCGGGAGGAACACCAAUGGCGAAGGCAGCUCGCUGGGACGUGACUGACGCUGAGACGCGAAAGCGUGGGGAGCAAACAGG